RNAcentral lists this ribosomal RNA (1509 nucleotides) under Helicobacter pylori. Its description in RNAcentral is "bacterial SSU rRNA". It matches the Rfam family "Bacterial small subunit ribosomal RNA". The record is from RNAcentral. Lineage: Bacteria; Pseudomonadati; Campylobacterota; Epsilonproteobacteria; Campylobacterales; Helicobacteraceae.
UUUAUGGAGAGUUUGAUCCUGGCUCAGAGUGAACGCUGGCGGCGUGCCUAAUACAUGCAAGUCGAACGAUGAAGCUUCUAGCUUGCUAGAGUGCUGAUUAGUGGCGCACGGGUGAGUAACGCAUAGGUUAUGUGCCUCUUAGUUUGGGAUAGCCAUUGGAAACGAUGAUUAAUACCAGAUACUCCCUACGGGGGAAAGAUUUAUCGCUAAGAGAUCAGCCUAUGUCCUAUCAGCUUGUUGGUAAGGUAAUGGCUUACCAAGGCUAUGACGGGUAUCCGGCCUGAGAGGGUGAACGGACACACUGGAACUGAGACACGGUCCAGACUCCUACGGGAGGCAGCAGUAGGGAAUAUUGCUCAAUGGGGGAAACCCUGAAGCAGCAACGCCGCGUGGAGGAUGAAGGUUUUAGGAUUGUAAACUCCUUUUGUUAGAGAAGAUAAUGACGGUAUCUAACGAAUAAGCACCGGCUAACUCCGUGCCAGCAGCCGCGGUAAUACGGAGGGUGCAAGCGUUACUCGGAAUCACUGGGCGUAAAGAGCGCGUAGGCGGGAUAGUCAGUCAGGUGUGAAAUCCUAUGGCUUAACCAUAGAACUGCAUUUGAAACUACUAUUCUAGAGUGUGGGAGAGGUAGGUGGAAUUCUUGGUGUAGGGGUAAAAUCCGUAGAGAUCAAGAGGAAUACUCAUUGCGAAGGCGACCUGCUGGAACAUUACUGACGCUGAUUGCGCGAAAGCGUGGGGAGCAAACAGGAUUAGAUACCCUGGUAGUCCACGCCCUAAACGAUGGAUGCUAGUUGUUGGAGGGCUUAGUCUCUCCAGUAAUGCAGCUAACGCAUUAAGCAUCCCGCCUGGGGAGUACGGUCGCAAGAUUAAAACUCAAAGGAAUAGACGGGGACCCGCACAAGCGGUGGAGCAUGUGGUUUAAUUCGAAGAUACACGAAGAACCUUACCUAGGCUUGACAUUGAGAGAAUCCGCUAGAAAUAGUGGAGUGUCUGGCUUGCUAGACCUUGAAAACAGGUGCUGCACGGCUGUCGUCAGCUCGUGUCGUGAGAUGUUGGGUUAAGUCCCGCAACGAGCGCAACCCCCUUUCUUAGUUGCUAACAGGUUAUGCUGAGAACUCUAAGGAUACUGCCUCCGUAAGGAGGAGGAAGGUGGGGACGACGUCAAGUCAUCAUGGCCCUUACGCCUAGGGCUACACACGUGCUACAAUGGGGUGCACAAAGAGAAGCAAUACUGCGAAGUGGAGCCAAUCUUCAAAACACCUCUCAGUUCGGAUUGUAGGCUGCAACUCGCCUACAUGAAGCUGGAAUCGCUAGUAAUCGCAAAUCAGCCAUGUUGCGGUGAAUACGUUCCCGGGUCUUGUACUCACCGCCCGUCACACCAUGGGAGUUGUGUUUGCCUUAAGUUAGGAUGCUAAAUUGGCUACUGCCCACGGCACACACAGCGACUGGGGUGAAGUCGUAACAAGGUAACCGUAGGUGAACCUGCGGUUGGAUCACCUCCUUUCUAGA